AGCAGCCGCGGUAAUUCCAGCUCCAAUAGCGUAUAUUAAAGUUGCUGCAGUUAAAAAGCUCGUAGUUGAAUUUCGGGACCAAUAUGUCGGUCGUGCCUCGGUACGUACUGGCAUCGUUGGUUUCUCCCUUCUGAAGAACCAUGAUGUCAUUUAUUUGGUGUCGUGGGGAAUCAGGACUGUUACUUUGAAGAAAUUAGAGUGUUUAAAGCAGGCUAACGCUUGAAUACAUUAGCAUGGAAUAAUGAAAUAGGACGUUCGAUCUUAUUUUGUUGGUUUCUAAGAUUGACGUAAUGAUUAAUAGGGAUAGUUGGGGGCAUUAGUAUUCAAUUGUCAGAGGUGAAAUUCUUGGA
Molecule: ribosomal RNA, 350 nt
Filed under: uncultured Glomeromycotina
Lineage: Eukaryota; Fungi; Glomeromycota
Description: SSU rRNA
Rfam family: Eukaryotic small subunit ribosomal RNA
Source: RNAcentral